This 1365-nucleotide ribosomal RNA is filed under the name Triticum aestivum (bread wheat). RNAcentral's name for it is "partial small subunit ribosomal RNA". Lineage: Eukaryota; Viridiplantae; Streptophyta; Magnoliopsida; Poales; Poaceae. The record is from RNAcentral.
AUGGUGGAGCUGUUGGCCACCAUGGCAAUCGAGCCAUUGGUGUCCAAGCUGAUGGACAAGGCAUCCAGCUACCUCCUGGACCAGUACAAUGUAAUGGAGGGAAUGGAGGAGCAGCACAAGAUUCUCAAACGCAAGCUUCCGGCCAUCUUCGACGUCAUCGCCGAUGCCGAGGAGCAGGCCACGGCACACAGAAAAGGUGCCAAAGCCUGGCUCCAGGAGCUCAAGACAGUGGCCUAUGAGGCCAAUGAAGUCUUCGACGAAUUCAAGUACGAAGCACUCCGCCGUCAAGCCAAGAAGAAGGGGCACUUCAGAAAGCUUGGCUUCGAUGUAAUUAAGCUCUUCCCUACUCACAACCGUAUUGUGUUCCGUUACAAAAUGGCCCGCAAGCUUUGCCAGAUUCUGCAGGCCAUUGAGGUCCUCAUAGCAGAGAUGCAGGUCUUUGGGUUCAAGUACCAACUCCAGCCGCCAGUCUCCAAACUAUGGAGGCAGACAGAUUAUGUUAUCUUAGACCCACAAGAAAUUGCCAGCACAUCAAGAUACGAAGAUAAGAAGAAUAUUGUUGGUAAACUACUUGGUGAAGCUGGCAAUUCAGAUCUUGCAGUUAUUCCCAUCGUAGGAAUGGGGGGCCUUGGCAAGACCACAUUAGCACAACUCAUAUACAAUGAACUUGCAAUUCAAGAACAUUUCCAGUUACCGAUUUGGGUCUGUGUCUCUGAUACUUUUGAUGUGAACUCGGUGGCCAAGAGUAUAGUUGAAGCAUCUCCCAAGAAAAAUGGUGAUACAAGCAAACCACCACUUGAUAGGCUUCAAAAAUUGGUCAGUGGACAGAGGUAUCUUCUUGUAUUGGAUGAUGUCUGGAACAGAGAUGUCCAGAAGUGGGAAAGCUUGAAGGUCUGUCUUCAGCAUGGUGGCAUGGGUAGUGCAGUGUUGACAACAACUCGUGAUGAACACGUUGCUGAAAUUAUGGGUGCAAAUAGAGCCUACAAUCUCGAUGUUUUGGGUGAUAGCUUCAUAAAGGAAAUUAUUGAGGCACAAGCAUUCAGUUCAGAGGAAGAGAAGCCUACCGAGCUACUCGAGAUGGUUGGUGAGAUUGUGAAGAGAUGUCGCGGCUCUCCUUUAGCUGCAACUGCACUGGGCUCUGUACUUCGUACCAAGACCAGCGUGAAAGAAUGGAAGGACAUAGCAUCUACAAGCAGCAUUUGCACCGAGGAAACUGGAAUCUUGCCCAUACUCAAGCUUAGCUACAAUGACUUGCCACCCCACAUGAAGCAAUGCUUUGCCUUUUGUGCCGUAUUUCCCAAGGAUUACAAGAUUGAUGUGGCAAAGCUGAUCCAACUAUGGAUCGCAAAUGGCUUUAUUCCAUAA